Columba livia (rock pigeon) is the source of this 3526-nucleotide long non-coding RNA. RefSeq lists it as uncharacterized. The transcript is spliced from 7 exons. NCBI's taxonomy places the organism in Eukaryota, Metazoa, Chordata, Aves, Columbiformes, Columbidae. The record is from RefSeq and is a predicted model, not a curated record.
UGGUGGCACUGAAAGUGUCCUGGUGGGUGGGAGCUGGUGCCAAAAGCUGGUACCAGGGUGCUCCAGCCCCUGUAAUAAGAACUCCUCUGUCACAGCUGUGUGGGUUAGAAGACUGGAGAGGAGUGGUACUACUACUUGUGUUACAUGAACCUAGGACCUUACUGGAUUCACUUUUACAGAUUCAUGCUCCCAGAGAUGCAGAAUACACUUCAGCCACUAAAAUUUGAUGAAAUCGUCUGGAGGGAGAUAACAUCCCAAGGCUUCAGUUAUCAUCUUAUGUGAUUGGCAGAGACACUGGGUUGAGUGACUUAGAGGACAAAGUGAUUUACCCACUGAUAUAGAAGACUUUUGAGAAUGAAUCAGAGGAUGAGCAUCUGCACCAAAAUAGUAUCUGAACACAUGGAGUGGAGUAUGAUAGAGUGUUAAUAUUUUAUCACAGAGAACUCUGGGUGCUUAUGACAGCAGUGUGAGAAGCUCAUUAAGGAGUUCUGGCAUGUUACAGAGUUCAGUGACCAGAAGUGCCAAGAAGUAAUUAAAAAAAAAAAAAUCUCAAAUGAUAUCUAAUUAAAAACUGUUUCAGGCAGAAUGAAUUAAACUUAGCUGUAAAGCUGCUUAUUGCAUCCAUCUUCCCCAUGUCAGAAGGAGCCGAGUUACAAAGAAAUAAAUCAGACUGAGAUCAGCUGGGAAUGGAAAGAAGACUUUAACUGUCUACAAAAAGGAACUGAGAGAUGCAGAUUAUAUAAUUCUGGACUCUGAAACCAUCCUGAUGUUUCGUGGGCAACACUGGUUACCUUCUCUGCAGUGCUAGUUUAGUCUAAUCAAGCCUUUUUGUUUCAUGACAUCAUAAUAUGUCUUCCAGUCUUUCUGCUUGAAAACCUUUCUUCCCUUCAUCCCAUCCCAAUACCAUGGUCUUUCUGGCUGCUUCUCUGCUCUUAAUGUGACUCUCAAGAAAUGUGGCUGUUAAACAGAUCCACCUCAUGAAAAACUGCCAACCCAAAUUCUCAUCCAUUCCUGCAGCAACAUCUUGUGUCUGUAAUACAACUGAAAGGUAUGACUGGAAACUCAGUUCAGAGUCACAAAACUUAAAUCUUCAAAGCAGAAUUUAGUGAUGACAAAAAGGAAUCAAAGCUAGCUCAUUUGCUCAGAUUAAUGUCCACUGACUUAAUUGUUUAAAGAAGCAGUGGCUUUGUUGUCUGGAGUGUUUGGUAAAAAGUAGUUCAUAAUAAUACCAGUGUUUAUAUCUAUGUAAAUUAUGUGUGUGCAAAGAAGAGUAUCUGACAUUUAACAUUUUCUGUUCUUCAUGAGAGAGUUACUAAUUAUUAUUAUUUUUUUUUUAAUAUCCAUCAUUCGCUAUCCUGAUAUGUAUGGACAAAUUACACGUUACAGAUACUGAACAAAGAAUGUAGUUCAGCUCGCUUUCUAAACACCAUUAAUUUCACAGUUACUCUAUAAAUACAAUGAAUAAAAAAAUUAAACUCUGAAUAGAUAUAAAAUUAUAAUAAAGAGUAUAUUAUAUUCACUGGCUUACUCACUAUCAAGAUAUUCUUCUACUGCUAUGUCCAAGAACAGCCAUCUAUUAAUUCACAUGCUGCAGAUUAUGAAUUGUAUUAUCAUUUUAAAAUUUUAUUUUUUGUAAUUCUUUAGUGACCGUUUCUUGGAUGCCACUGUUUAAUUAAUUGCUGUAGCAAAUGCUCUGCUACUUAAACACUAUGGUCAAGAGCAAUAUGCAUACCUCAGGAGCCUGGGGACAAAAAAUGAACCUAACAGCAAAGCCUGCUGCACUGAAGACGUACAAAUUAAGAAGAUUAAAACUGAUGGCUUCGGGCAGUGUAGAGUAAUGAUUUUUAGGCCAACACAAGAUUCCAGAUGCUCCAGGAGAAUCCCAUGAUGAGCAAUGUCAACUGAUGUCAAAUGCUACUGAAAGAUCUAAGUCAUUGAUGCCUGUGGGUUUACAUUGGAAAGAACGCAAGAAGAGUCCAUCAAUAUGGGCAACGUAGAACAGGGAAUAAGCAGCUGGGGCUUUUGUGUGCCUGGAUGUGACCAGAGCAUAUGGCAGGACCAGACAGUAGGAAACAUUACUGGAUGCUGCUGUUUAAGCAUAGCCCAUUCCAAUCACCUGAAGCUCCAGGAUGAAGAUGCCUGAUGGAGGAUGUUAAUAACUUCACUCUGACACAAUAAAACUCCCCAUGAUAAUGUAAUGCUUAUCUGUUCAGAAACCUGAGCUUGUAACUACGGCUUGAUUUUCCUGUAUGUAUCACAAAAAGAUCCAUCACCUCUCAGCUGGGAUGCAGCUGGACAGCAAUGAUAAAGCUAUGCAGCUGUGCAGGCUCUCUGCUGUCAAAUGACACAAAGUGCAUGCUGUGCUGAUUAAUUCAUGUUUGCUCUAAGUGAACCAAAUAUUUCUGUGGCCUUUUUUCCCUGAAACAAAUAGAGGCUUAUAUGUAUACGUUAAAAGUAAUUUAAGAAUGCUAUUUAAAUGAAGAACUCAUGUCUGUCGUCUCUUCUGACAAGAGAACACAUGUUACUCAGGUCACUUAUUGCACUGUAAUGUAGAGAAUGAUAAAAUAUCUAGGCAGAUUUUCUCUAUGACUAACACAGAAUAAGGUAAUGGCCAUAGCAUUUAUGUCCAAGGAUUUUAGGCAGCAAAGAUAAAAUGAUUGAGGAACUCUGUUUUCAUUUUCUUUGGAAGAAAUAUAGCAUUUUCUGUUUGUUCACACACAUCACUGUUGUAUUCUAUGAUAAAUACUACAAUGGGAAGAUAAUUAUUCUAAUGGGUUAGUUUUAAAGAGGCUUUUGGGGUAGAGAGAGGAGGAUUUUUCAUAGUCACUUGUAGGAGAUCUGAGUUAUGCAACAAAAAGCUAGAAAAGCUUUGUUGUUGAUUUCAGUGUGCUCAUGAGCUGGGAUUUAUGUACUUUGGUAAUUCUUUUGUGCUUGCUGAUGUAGACAAACACAACAUGCAUUGGAAUCAAGCUCGCCUUUUCAUUUAAAUGCUGCUAUGAAUAAGAGGCAUUUUUUAUAUCUAUUGACUCCUAAGAUGGCACAAACUGAUGGGUAGAAGUAGAAAAAUAACAAGAUAAACAAAGAUACUUAGUUAUAGUCUAUCUAUAGCGAUAGUAAAUAUCAGUUGUGUUUCACACCAAGCAGAGUAAAUGUUUGUUGGUUAGAUACAGGGGAUUUGUUUUAAUGGGUCUAUAUAUGUAGAUGCAGACAUGUGUAGAUUUGUGUGUAUGAUAAUAUGGCCAGGAACUUUGGAUAGUUCUUUUGCUGAGGGAGUUUACAGAUUCUAUGUUCAGAAGAUUACAAUGGACUGUUUACAGGAAGAUAUACAAACACUGACAGAAUCUGAUAUGCCACAAAGCUGCGACGAUAAUGUUGUUUUAAAAUGUGUGCUAGUGGGGACACAGAGCUAAUUUCCAUAACUAGUGGAACAUCUUAUGCCUCUAAAAGGAACUGUGGUGGAAUGCAAAGUGGAGGCUGCUUAUUAAGUGUUUUGGUGAAAAGAAGGCAAUAUUUUAUAUAAAGUACA